GAAGGUGGGGAUGACGUCAAGUCAUCAUGGCCCUUACGUCCGGGGCUACACACGUAAUACAAUGGCCGGUACAAUGGGCAAAGGCGCGAGCCGGAGGAAAUCCCCAAAACCGGUCUCAGUUCAGAUUGGAGUCUGCAACUCGACUCCAUGAAGGUGGAAUCGCUAGUAAUCGUGGAUCAGCAUGCCACGGUGAAUACGUUCCCGGGCCUUG
This 211-nucleotide ribosomal RNA is filed under the name Blepharisma japonicum. RNAcentral describes it as "partial Bacterial small subunit ribosomal RNA". It matches the Rfam family "Bacterial small subunit ribosomal RNA", at positions 1169 to 1383 of the family's 1533-position model. The record is from RNAcentral. Lineage: Eukaryota; Ciliophora; Heterotrichea; Heterotrichida; Blepharismidae.